CUAAGUGGGAUUAUACUGGGUUGUUGUUGUUGUUGUCUGUCUCCAAUGUAAUCCUUUGAAAUAUAAUAACAUUGAGUGCUAGAUGAUUGAUGACUAGAGUAGUUGUCGAUUGACCAUGAGUUCAUGUUAGAGAGUAGAAUGACCUAUACUGGAGGCAGAAAGAGAGCAGGAAUUCCAGGAUAAUAUGUCGAAUGAUGUCCUCAAACUUUAGUAAGUCAAUUGGCACACCGUUCAUAUGGGUUGUGUCAUGAUGUGGGUUACGAAGAUGUGCUACUAGUUGGUCUUUUGGAGAGUGUGUUUGAGGUUGAACAACAAAGUCAGCCAAAUCUAUGCUGUUGGGUAUAGACUAGCUCAAAAAUCUCCUCUUGUUUUUAGCAGGUUUAGUUAUUUUUAACACCACUUGGGAAGUGUUUCGGUAUUACCAAACAAAAUUUCCUCUGGUUUUUAGCAGGUUUAGUGAUUUUUAACGCCACUUGGGAAGUGUUUCGGUAUUACCAAAAUUAAGGCGUAUUCAACUUCCAGUUAAACUUGCUAUUCCGUUUUUCUUGAAAAUAGUGGCUUCUGCUCCCCUAACUUGAAGGAUCAGAUAUUGUUUUCGCAGAUGUUCCAAAAUGAAGCCUAUAAAUUUUCCUUCUCUGUACUUCAUUAAGCUUCAUUUUGAAAUUUUUUGUAAUAAAU
Molecule: long non-coding RNA, 678 nt
Filed under: Nicotiana benthamiana
Lineage: Eukaryota; Viridiplantae; Streptophyta; Magnoliopsida; Solanales; Solanaceae
Description: long non-coding RNA (NBEN_LNC012493)
Source: RNAcentral